Molecule: ribosomal RNA, 585 nt
Filed under: uncultured bacterium
Lineage: Bacteria
Description: partial 16S ribosomal RNA
Rfam family: Bacterial small subunit ribosomal RNA
Source: RNAcentral
UGGGGAAUUUUGGACAAUGGGCGAAAGCCUGAUCCAGCAAUGCCGCGUGUGUGAAGAAGGCCUUCGGGUUGUAAAGCACUUUUGUCCGGAAAGAAAUCCUUGGCUCUAAUACAGUCGGGGGAUGACGGUACCGGAAGAAUAAGCACCGGCUAACUACGUGCCAGCAGCCGCGGUAAUACGUAGGGUGCAAGCGUUAAUCGGAAUUACUGGGCGUAAAGCGUGCGCAGGCGGUUUGCUAAGACCGAUGUGAAAUCCCCGGGCUCAACCUGGGAACUGCAUUGGUGACUGGCAGGCUAGAGUAUGGCAGAGGGGGGUAGAAUUCCACGUGUAGCAGUGAAAUGCGUAGAGAUGUGGAGGAAUACCGAUGGCGAAGGCAGCCCCCUGGGCCAAUACUGACGCUCAUGCACGAAAGCGUGGGGAGCAAACAGGAUUAGAUACCCUGGUAGUCCACGCCCUAAACGAUGUCAACUAGUUGUUGGGGACUUCAUUUCCUUAGUAACGUAGCUAACGCGUGAAGUUGACCGCCUGGGGAGUACGGUCGCAAGAUUAAAACUCAAAUGAAUUGACGGGGUCUAUCUGUUUCCU